AGUAGGAAUAAUUAGUGCAUGGCUCUUAAUUGGGUCAUGCCUUUAUUAAUUUGACCGUAGUAUGUAUAUAUAAUACAUAUAUCCUAACUAGAGUAAUUCUAAUUCAAUUAAAAUUACACUUUUAAUUAUAAUCCAUAUGUACCAAAUUAAAUUCAAUACCAAUUAAAUUAGAAUUUAACUUUAAUUUAGAUAACUACAAAUCUAAACCAAAUUAUAACAAAAGGAAACCAAAUUUAAACCAAAAAAAAAGGAAAAAUGAAUAAAUAAGGCGCCCGGUUGACCUCUUACAACUGGAGCCGCCGUUGUUCAAGAUUGGACGAAAUAUAUCAGAUUGGAGUCAUUGGACGAAGAAUGACAGAUCUGGAAAAUUGAUGUACUUAACAAUAUAUAUAUAUAUAUAUAUAUAGAGAGAGAGAGAGAGUCCGGCUAUAGUGUUUUAAAAGCACCAAGCAUUUGGUGCUUAUAAAUUUUUUACCGUUAAAUCUACGGCUUUGAUCAUUUUCAUCCGUUAUAUUAUACUAUUCGACCAACCACCCACUCAACCCAAAAAACCCCACAUCAUCCUAACCGUACAUCUAUUAAUUCAAAGAUUAAAAACAUACCAGCACCAAUGACUUAGUACUUUUAAAAAUAUAGAGCUCAAUUUUAUAUAUAUAUAUAUAUAUAUAAAUAAAACUGGGCUACUAUGCUAUUAAUAGCACCAAGUCAUUGAUACUACCAAGUUUUUGGCCACUGGAUUAAGAGAUAUGUGGUUUGGAUUAUGUGGGCCCCCUAGGGUUGAGUGGG
This 786-nucleotide long non-coding RNA is filed under the name Ananas comosus (pineapple). RNAcentral describes it as "long non-coding RNA (ACOM_LNC032124)". The record is from RNAcentral. Lineage: Eukaryota; Viridiplantae; Streptophyta; Magnoliopsida; Poales; Bromeliaceae.